AAGUCGUAACAAGGUCUCCGUAGGUGAACCUGCGGAGGGAUCAUUAACGAGCGAAGGGCCCCCCUGGGGUCCGACCUCCCACCCUAAGAUGUUUCAACCCGUUGCCUCGGGGGCGACCCCACACCGGGGCCCCCGACGGUCACAAACGCCCUGUAUACCUACGUUCGAGUGAACAGCAAGCGAAACAAAACUUUCAACAACGGAUCUCUUGGUUCUG
This 217-nucleotide unclassified non-coding RNA is filed under the name Davidiella sp. Its description in RNAcentral is "partial contains small subunit ribosomal RNA, internal transcribed spacer 1, and 5.8S ribosomal RNA". The stretch from base 1 to 46 matches the Rfam family "Eukaryotic small subunit ribosomal RNA", at positions 1786 to 1831 of the family's 1831-position model. Lineage: Eukaryota; Fungi; Ascomycota; Dothideomycetes; Cladosporiales; Cladosporiaceae. The record is from RNAcentral.